This 460-nucleotide ribosomal RNA is filed under the name uncultured bacterium. RNAcentral describes it as "partial 16S ribosomal RNA". It matches the Rfam family "Bacterial small subunit ribosomal RNA", at positions 338 to 795 of the family's 1533-position model. The record is from RNAcentral.
CCUACGGGAGACAGCAGUGAGGAAUAUUGGUCAAUGGGCGGGAGCCUGAACCAGCCAAGUCGCGUGAGGGAAGACGGUCCUAUGGAUUGUAAACCUCUUUAGGCGGGGAGCAAUGCCGGGCACGCGUGCCCGGAGGGAGAGUACCCGCAGAAUAAGCAUCGGCUAACUCCGUGCCAGCAGCCGCGGUAAUACGGAGGAUGCGAGCGUUAUCCGGAUUUAGUGGGUUUAAAGGGUGCGUAGGCGGAUUUUUAAGUCAGCGGUAAAAUGUCCGGGCUCAACCCGGGCCGGCCGUUGAAACUGGGGAUCUUGAGUGGGCGAGAAGUAUGCGGAAUGCGUGGUGUAGCGGUGAAAUGCAUAGAUAUCACGCAGAACUCCGAUUGCGAAGGCAGCAUACCGGCGCCCGACUGACGCUGAGGCACGAAAGCGUGGGGAUCGAACAGGAUUAGAUACCCGGGUAGUC